CCCCUAAAUAGGGACUGGAAUGAACGGCUACAUGAAGACUUUACUGUCUCUUGCUGCUAGUCAAUGAAACUGAUCUCCCAGUACAAAAGCUGGAAUAAUUUCAUAAGACAAAAAGACCCUGUGGAGCUUUUAAACCAAGUACACCAAAAUGUUCUAUCACGGUUUUUAGUUGGGGCGACUUCGGAACAAAAUAAAACUUCCGAAACCAUGGAAUCAUACCCAUAUUUUAAGGCCAACACGCCAAGAUUAAUCAUCUACUUGACCCAGUUUACCACAUACUGAUCAAUGAACCAAGUUACCCCAGGGAUAACAGCGCCAUCUUCUUUUAGAGUCCAUAUCGACAAGAAGGUUUACGACCUCGAUGUUGGAUCAGGACACCCAAAUAGUGCAGCCGCUAUUAAAGGUUCG
This 408-nucleotide ribosomal RNA is filed under the name Psammodromus algirus. Its description in RNAcentral is "partial 16S ribosomal RNA". It matches the Rfam family "Bacterial large subunit ribosomal RNA", at positions 1973 to 2575 of the family's 2925-position model. Lineage: Eukaryota; Metazoa; Chordata; Lepidosauria; Squamata; Lacertidae. The record is from RNAcentral.